Cinara cedri is the source of this 925-nucleotide non-coding RNA. Lineage: Eukaryota; Metazoa; Arthropoda; Insecta; Hemiptera; Aphididae. The record is from the annotation of a GenBank genome assembly.
ACCAUGUGUUAUGCUUGUAUGUUAAUUAUUCCUGUGAAUUUCUUUUUAUAAUAGACAUUAACUUUAUUAAAACCCCGCAAUUCCAAUUGCAGUGAAAUCGGUUUGAAACUUAAACGCACGAGUUUAAAAUUCAGGAAAGCUACACAAAACAGAAUAUUAAGCUAGUGAUUUAUUUGAAUUAUAAUAUCUAUAUGAGUAAUAAUAAUAUCACGAUCAAAUAAAUAUACAAACAGUAAUACUGAACAAAUACCUAAUUCAACCGGAUCAUAGAUAGACUCAAUGUUUAUUAUCUAAGCUUAAUUUACCGUUAUGACAUCCAUAUAAUUAUGUAUAGUCAUUAUACAGAUCUGGGCCUAAAAUUGUAUGUAACAGGUAAAUACAAAAUGUUUGGUUUGUAGUAAGUACUUAUGCAAUUAAAAAAUGUGAGGUGGCAAUAUUGUGAUAUUUAUUUGGGUUAUUUAUUAAUUUUAUAUCAUUUUGAACUUUUAAUAAUUUUUAUUGGGGGAAAAAAAUUCCAAAAUGCAUUCAUCUUUAAUAAAUUUUUAUCUAACAAGUUGAUUCAUACAAAAUUGACAGUUAUCAUAUAUUAUUCCAAAGAUGAUGAAGAAGGAUCACGUAUAAAUCUGGAAAUUGGAAAUCUGAAGGGUACUGAUCUAGAAUGAAAAAUCUGAACUACAAAUUAUAGAUAUCUGAGUAAGAGGUAAGAAUAGGUCAUAAAUAUAAAAUUUCAUAAAUGCAAUAUUUAAAGAGGCUAUCUAUAGGCAAUUUUUAUUCAUUUUUUAAGAAUUUAUUCAAACUUAACGGGUCUGCAUAAAAAACUGGAAAUUGGAAAUCAGGAUCUUCAAAAUUCGAUAACUUUUUAUAAAGCUUAUAUUAAAACUAGUAAAUAAAGUACAGAAUUGUAUUAGAGUAGAGUUCACCUAAC